CUCACUCUCUCAAUUGAUUUUGGGUAGAAUGAUGUCUAAACUCCUCCUUUGUUUUCUUUUCUUUCUCUCGUCCUCUCAGCUUCUUUCCUCCUCUUUCUCUUUCUCUAAUUCCACCAAACUAUGCCCGCAUCAGCAGGCUCUUGCUCUGCUCCACCUUAAGCAAUCCUUUUCUAUUGAUAAUUCCAGUUCUUGGGAUUGUGAUUCCAAUGGCAUCACUUCUUAUCCUAAAACAGAGUCUUGGAAGAAGGGUAGUGAUUGUUGCUCAUGGGAUGGGGUCACAUGUGAUUGGGUGACAGGCCAUAUAAUUGGGCUGGACCUCAGUUGCAGCUGGCUCUUUGGCAUCAUCCAUUCCAAUAGUACCCUUUUCCUUCUUCCUCACCUGCGAAGGCUCAACCUUGCUUUCAAUGACUUCAAUUACUCCUCUGUUUCAAUUGGGUUUGGUCGGUUCUCAAGCUUGAUGCAUCUCAAUCUCUCCUACUCUCUCUUUUCUGGAAAAAUUGCACCUGAAAUCUUCCAUCUCUCCAACUUGGUUUCACUUGAUCUGUCCGGGAAUUAUAAAGCAGAAUUUGCCCCGCAUGGCUUCAAUUCUCUGGUUCAAAAUUUAACCAAAUUGCAGAAGCUUCACCUUGGAUCUCUCCUAUUGCAAAUUCUCAGGGUCCAUCCCUACUUCAAUUGGCAAUCUAAAGUCUUUAUAGACUUUGGAUCUCUCCAAUUGCGAAUUCUCAGGGUCCAUCCCUACUUCAAUUGGCAAUCUAAAGUCUUUAAAGACUUUGGAUCUCUCCAAUUGCGAAUUCUCAGGGUCCAUCCCUACUUCAAUUUGCAAUCUAACAAACCUUCAGGACUUAAGAUUCUAUGAUAACUUGUUCACCGGGACAAUACCAUCCAGGUUAUACACUCUGGCAUCAUUGGUGAGCUUAGAUCUCAGUCUUAACAAACUCACUGGUCAUAUUGGUGAAUUCCGAUUUGAUUCAUUGGAGUAUAUUGAUUUGAGCAUGAAUGAGUUACAUGGGUCAAUUCCAAGUUCAAUAUUUAAGCUUGUAAACCAUAGAUAUCUUGUUCUUUCUUCAAAUAACUUCAGUGGCGUUUUGGAGACAAGCAACUUUGGAAAACUUAGAAACCUUACUUCGCUUGAUCUCUCAAACAACAUGCUCUCAUUGAUCACCUCUGCCAAUUCCAACUCCAUUUUACCAAGCAUUGUGAACCUAGACCUUUCAAACAAUAACAUUAGUGGAGUAUGGUCAUGGAAUAUGGGAAAGGAUACACUGCGGUACUUGAAUCUCUCUUAUAACAUCAUAAGUGGGUUUGAGACGCUUCCAUGGAAAAAUAUAGGAAUUCUAGAUCUUCAUUCCAACUUGUUGCAAGGACCACUUCCAACUCCUCCAAAUACUGCAUUUUUCUUUUCAGUAUCCCAUAACAAAUUGAGUGGAGAAAUCUCAUCAUUGAUUUGCAAAGCGAGUUCCAUGGGAAUUCUUGAUUUGUCUAAUAACAACUUGAGUGACAUGCUUCCUCAUUGUUUGGGGAAUUUUAGCAAAUAUCUCUCUGUUUUGAAUUUGCGAAGGAAUCAAUUUCAUGGCAUCAUUCCUCAAACAUUUUUAAAGGGCAAUGCUAUCAGGAAUCUUGACUUCAACGAUAAUAAAUUGGAAGGCCCAGUACCUCGAUCUUUGAUCAUUUGUCGAAAACUUAAAGUUCUAGACCUUGGGAAUAAUGUGAUAAAUGAUACAUUUCCCCAUUGGUUGGGAACUCUUCCAAAGUUGCAAGUUCUUGUUUUGCGUUCUAAUAGUUUUCAUGGUCAUAUAGGGCGUUCCAAAAUCAAAUCCCCAUUCAUGAGCCUAAGAAUCAUUGAUCUUGCUCACAAUGAUUUCGAGGGUGACUUGCCUGAAAUGUAUUUGAGAAGUUUGAAAGCAACAAUGAAUGUAGAUGAAUGCAACAUGACAAGAAAAUACAUGGGGGACAGUUAUUAUCAAGAUUCCGUAAUGGUGACAAUCAAGGGGUUAGAGAUUGAAUUUGUGAAAAUCUUGGAUACUUUCACAACAAUUGAUUUAUCAAGCAAUACAUUCCAAGGAGAGAUUCCAAAGUCCAUUGGAAAUCUUAAUUCACUCCGAGGACUCAAUUUGUCUCAUAACAACCUUGUAGGACAUAUCCCACCAUCUUUCAAAAAUUUGAAGUUGCUUGAAUCAUUGGACCUUUCUUCAAACAAGCUCAUUGGGAGAAUUCCUCAAGAAUUAACAAGUUUGACAUUUCUUGAAGUUUUGAAUCUUUCCCAAAACAAUCUCACCGGAUUUAUACCUCGAGGCAAUCAAUUUGAGACAUUUGGAAAUGAUUCAUACAACGAGAACUUAGGGUUAUGUGGAUUUCCAUUAUCAAAGAAAUGCACAACUGAUGAAACACUAAAGCCUUCAAAAGAGAUGGAUGCAGAGUUUGAAAGUGGGUUUGAUUGGAAAAUCACAUUGAUGGGAUAUGGAUGUGGAUUGAUAAUUGGGUUGUCUCUUGGGUGUCUCAUUUUCUUAACUGGGAAACCUAAAUGGUUGACAACGAUGGUUGAAGAGAACAUUCACAAGAAGAUCACAAGGUCUAAAAGAAGUACUUGUAGAAGAGGAGCAAGAAGAAAGUAGCAUAUUCCAACUGUAUUGUAUUUUGUGCUACAUAUUAUAAAUGGAUUUUACAUUUGUUAACAAAUAAUCUACUUGUUAUUAUAAAAGUGUAAUAUUGUUUGUAAAAUUAAAAUAAUGUUUUUUUCUUUUUCCUUUUUUUUUCUUUUUUGUGACAAUGCAACAGUCAUUAGGUUCAAUAUUUUUCCGGCCAACAUGAUAACUUAAAAUUCAUCAAAGAGCAAUUUGUAUAUCUUAGAGAUUAAUCAAACACUAAAGAAUAUUAAAGACUUAGUAGAAAUUUGGACAUACUUCUAAUUUUUAUUAUUUUUUAAAAACAAAACUUUGAUACAAGUAGAGACUUACACUAUGUUUUCAAAACUACUUUUUAAUUUAUUUUUAUUUUUUAAAUUUAAGAACACAAAGUUUUUAAAAUUUUAAAAAAUCUUUUAGAAAAUAUAAGAUAAAUCUCCUCUCUUGCUAAAAAAAAUGACUGCAUUUUAUAGAAGAGUUUAAAAACAAAAAACAAAAUACAAAAAUUGUUUCCAAACACCACUAUUUUUUUUUUCCCGAUAAUUCAUACUUUAUUAUUAUAUAGGGAAAGAACAAUAAUUUGUUUAUAUUAAAUAUAUAUGGGUAUAUUAUAACAACUAGUAUUUUAUUUGAGGAGCCACGACCGGGCCUAGUUCAAACCACGACAAGGCAUAACCAUUGCAACCAAAGCUCAAUUGGUAUUUCAUUGGAAAUCAUUUUUUAAAUAUAUGUUAUUGAAAAAUGUCAACUAUCACAUUAUGGAAAAGAAAAAUUUACGAAAGGACCACUUGAUAUCUUUUCAUUUGAAAGAAUAUCAUUGUUAGUGAUAUAUGUUAAAUAUUUAAAUCAAUUCUAUAAUUGCUAUCGAUAUUUGAAGAAGAAAAAACAUAAAUAAAUUAAAUAAUUUAACAUUUUUCAAUCAAUCUGACUUUAAUAAAUAAGGUUGAAGAUAGUGCACAAAAUCAAUAAAGAAAAAGCAUAUAUUUUUUUUAAUUAUUUAUUUAAACAAACUAAUAUUCAUUCAUUUUAUAUUUAUCUCUUACCAUUUUAAAAUAUUAAUAUUUAUUUUAAAAAUAUUAGUAUGCAUUAUAAUUUUUUAAAACAGUAUUAUUGAUUUUAAUAAAAAAAAUAUAAAUUCUAAUAUUCAUUUUUAAAAGUUGGUGAUUUCGGAAAUUUGUUUCUAAUAUUCAUGAAUUUAUACUCGUAUCUUUUUCUCAAAAUAAAUAAAUAAAUGUUAUUAAUUUGUUAUGAAUAGUGUGAUUUUUAAAAUAUAAUACUUGAUUAUUUAAUAAAAAUGUUGUUACUUAUCAUAACUUUUUAAAAAUGUAUUAUUUAUUAUUAAUUCGAAGAAAUAAAAUUUUAAUAUUUAUUUUGAUAGAAAAAAACCCAAUGAUAUUUUGUGGCCUUAUAAUAAUAAAGUUUAUUUUUAUUUUCAUUUUCUAUUUAAAUAAUUAUUUAAAAAAUCUGAAACUAAAAUCAUUGCCACGUAGGUUGCAACAUAAAAUGCAUGAUAGAUCAUAGAUGUAAUAACUUGGCAGUAAUAGGAAGCAUGUAUUGGAAUAUUAUACUCAUUUAAAAAUAUUAUUUUCACUCAUAAAACAAGUAAACCUAUCGAAAAAGUCAAGUGAUCACCAUAUCUCUUUUAUUUAUUAUUAAACUCAGCUUCAAUUGUAAAUUUUAAAAAAAGGCCAAAUGUAUACAAUCUUGAGUGGGGUCCACGCUACUGCCACAUGCUUUAUUUUCAUUUUUUUUAAAAAUUUAUUUACUUCCACUAUUUCUUUAAUAAAUAAAUAAAUAAAUAUUAAUAUUUCUUAUUUGUGUGUUCGUUGUGAUUAAAUCUACAGGUAGUUCGCAUUUUCUAAUUUUGACUAGAUUUAUAAGACGAAAACAAACGCAUUUGGAUGGAGCAAGUUUGAGGAGAUAGGUGGAUUUGGGCCUUCUCAAAUUUAGAUUUGGGCCUAGAACAUGAUUCAAAGCUCAGUCCAGCCCAAACGGCACACGUCUUAUUGGGUCUCAAUUUGGGCCUAUUGAGUUGACCUGGGCCAACCCGAUUCAAUUCAAUGGCAGGCAAUUGGUACCAUCAUCACUAGUAUACAAUUGCUGGUCUAAUUUUAGUAUUCUCUCUGUUUUUGAGUUUUCUCAAUCCCAAUUCACUAGCCAAAUUUUCAUACUUGUAAUGGGCAUUAAACAAGGUUUAAUUUAUAAUUAAAUAUAAUAAAUAGAAGAGAAAAAAAUGUUAAAAAAUUAUUUUCUAUGUUUGUUUAUUAUAAAAAAAAAUAUAUAAGAGAAAAUAAAUAUAAUUAAAAUUAAUUAUAGAUUUAUUUAUUUUUAAAUCAUUUCAUCUUUAUAUAGAAGAAAAAAAAAAGUGAAAUGAGUUUAAAGAAGAAUAUAAAAAUAAUUUAUCAUAUUUAAAUCUAUUUUUAAAAUUUUCUAGCAUUUUUUUUUUAUCUCUUUUCAUUUUCUUACCUUGAUAUUUUCUCAAGAUAUUUCCUUUAUCAUUUUUCAUUAUUGACGCCAAGUCAAUGGUUGAUGCUUCCACACGGUUUUGUGGAAAGAUGAUCAAGAAGAAAACAUGGCAAAUCUGAAAAAGAUACUCCACUUCUUUCAAAUACAAUUUUGUUUUUUAUUCUUUUUUUAUUUAUCAUACUUUCUUUACUAAUAUAUCACUUUUCAAAUAAAAUAAUUAAUUUACACUAAUUACUUUUUAACUAUAUUCUUUAAUCACCAAAGUAGCAAGAAUCUAUAUAAUUGUUUCCAGAUUUAGAACUCGUUUAAUAAUAAUUUUAGAAAACACUUUCAAUAUUUUUAUUGCUUAAAAAUUUUUAUAUUAAAAAUGCUAGAAACGCUUUAUAAAAUCACUCCCAAACUGGUUCUUACUCGUCACAUUAUUUAUUUGGCUAGAGGCCAUAAGUACAUUAGUGUAAACUAACAAUAUCAUUAAUUAGGAUAUUUUUUAGUAACUAAAAUCCUUAAUCUAAUUUUUUAUGGAUUUUUUUAUGGUCUUAAGAGGGAAUUGAUUGGUCAGAGUUUCAUAAGUUUACUAUUAAUGUAAUUAGUAGCCAAUCACUAUCUUUAAGUAAGUUAAUAGAUAUAAAUUUUAUCUUUAAAUUAAUUAUUUAGAAGAAUCAAUUGAUAAUUUUGGAAGAUGAUUUAUUUAUUUAUUUAUUUAUUACAAAAGAUGCUUUAGAAAAAAAAAAUAUUUUUAUAGUGUUGUAAACUCUUAGAUAGUGUUGUCAUUCUAUUGAUUCAUAGAAGUCAAAGUCAAGAAACGUGAAAAACGAAAGAAGGGAAAUUUCUAUGCUUCCAUGAUUCAUAGAAAAGAAGGUCAAAAGGCAAAUGAUUGAAAAAUGAAAGAAGGAAAGUUUAUAUGAAUUUAUGAUUCAUAGAAAAGAAGGUCCCCACACGGUUUUAUUUAUGGUGCGUGAAUGUUUUAAUAAUAUUAUGAUUUUAAAUAAAAAAGAAAUAAAUUUAUUAAUAAGUUUGUUCACAUAUUUUUCAAAAUUUGUUUUUCUUCUCUUUUACCUUUCAAAAAAAAAAUGAAAAUUUUGAAAAGAUAGAAAUAUUUUAAUAAUUUGAAUUGUUAUUUUUUUGCAAUUUUAAAUUAAACUAAAUAAUUAAUAUUAAAUUUAUUUUUUUUAAUUUGAAUCUUUUUAAUAUUUUCUUUGAUCCGAAGGGUAAUUUCAUUUUCAAACUUUUUAGACAAAUGAUAUUACCAAAAAUCUUGUGAUAUUCUACUAUUAGUGAUACUAACUAAGACAAAAAUUAUUUUCUUUUACCACUUAAUUAUUACCAUAGGAUGGUAUUAAAUUUAAAAGGAACAAAUAAAAUAGAAAAAUAAAAUAAAAAACAUUUUAUUUUACAAUAAAGGUGAAGAAAUAAAAUAAAAUAAAAAAUAAAUAUAAUUUCAUUCUCAUUUCCUUGCUUUUUCAUCUACUAUUGGUGGUCAAAGUUAUAAAUAUUUGCAUAUAUUUUUACAAUUUUUAGAUAAUUGGAGAAAAAAAGAAUAUAAAAGUAAUUUAUCACCUUUAAAUUUAUUUUCUUUUUUUAAUUUUAUGUCAUUUCUUAUUUCCUUUUAUUUUUCUUAGUAUUUUCUUUACUACUUUUUAUAAACCAAACACAACCUAAAAAUUAUUUUUAAAAAAAAUUAUUAUUUUUAUUUAAGCCAAAAAAUAAAAAUAUUUUUUUUAUUUCUCUUUUAUGAUAAACAAAAUGGUUAGAAAACUGAGUGCUUUGGUUUGAGUUUCCUCUUUCAUUUAUUUGAUCAAUAAAACAUUAUUAUUCUACUUUAAACUUGCAAAUUCAGCCAUGACCAUACAGAGAAAUUCAAACUGUGCCCUCUCAUGCUCCUCUGUUCUAUUUUCUCCCAAGUUAUUAAUUUUCUCGUCUUUCUCUAAUACCGGAGACUUGACUUCUUGUGGGCCAGCUUAAGAAAUCAUUUUUCAUUGUUGACCCUAACUCAAUGGUUCAUGCUUUCUCAUGAACCUUUUUGUUUUACUUUAAUAUUAUAAAAAAAGGUGGGUGGCUUUCACACGAUUUUGUGAAAGAUGAUCAAAACAUGAUUAUUCUAACUUGGAAUCAUUUGCAUAUAAAUUGGAGUGCACUUGUCACCAUUUCUCUCAUCUCAUCACUCUUUCUCUCUAUUGCUUUGGGAAGAAUGAUGUCUAAACUUCUCCUUUGUUUUCUUUUCUUUCUCUCGUCCUCUCAGCUUCUUUCCUCCUCUUUCUCUUUCUCUAAUUCCACCAAACUAUGCCCGCAUCAGCAGGCUCUUGCUCUGCUCCACCUUAAGCAAUCCUUUUCUAUUGAUAAUUCCAGUUCUUGGGAUUGUGAUUCCAAUGGCAUCACUUCUUAUCCUAAAACAGAGUCUUGGAAGAAGGGUAGUGAUUGCUGCUCAUGGGAUGGGGUCACAUGUGAUUGGGUGACAGGCCAUAUAAUUGGGCUGGACCUCAGUUGCAGCAGGCUCUUUGGCACCAUCCAUUCCAACACAACCCUUUUCCUCCUUCUUCAUCUACAAAGGCUCAACCUGGCUUUCAACAACUUCAAUGGGUCCUCUA
Molecule: long non-coding RNA, 7672 nt
Filed under: Vitis vinifera (wine grape)
Lineage: Eukaryota; Viridiplantae; Streptophyta; Magnoliopsida; Vitales; Vitaceae
Description: long non-coding RNA (VVIN_LNC006343)
Source: RNAcentral